Molecule: non-coding RNA, 178 nt
Filed under: Mycosarcoma maydis (corn smut)
Lineage: Eukaryota; Fungi; Basidiomycota; Ustilaginomycetes; Ustilaginales
Source: RNAcentral
ACUCUAAUUUGACAUUGUGAAGCGACACGGAACGUAUACAAUCAGUGGAAGCUUCGGCGCCAGUAAAAUAUCACUACCGCCAUCCUCUCUUUACCUUUCCACUGAACCGGAGCUGGGUUUGACGGACCACCUUUUGCAAGCAGUUAUGCUUUAUGAAAGAGUUUGUCAGGUGCAGAGU